RNAcentral lists this long non-coding RNA (1217 nucleotides) under Oryctolagus cuniculus (rabbit). Its description in RNAcentral is "lncRNA (ENSOCUG00000031167.1)". Lineage: Eukaryota; Metazoa; Chordata; Mammalia; Lagomorpha; Leporidae. The record is from RNAcentral.
GGCUCAGGGCAGAGGGGUGUACGCGGGGCGCUACCGCUGUGUCUGCCUCAGCGCUGCUGGCUGCUCAGAGCCCAGUGCCGCCCUGGAGCUGGGGUGACAGUGAGGAAGCCACACCCGAGCAGGAGCUGGGUAGGUCACGGAGACGCUGAGAGGAGGUGUAGAUGGGAAUUGGGUGCGGGGCCUGGGCUCCUGGGCCAGACACCCAGAGUGAGGGCGGUGGGACUGCAGGGCAGGAGGGAGAAGGGUGUGGGCGGAGCCAGGGUGCAGCCCCGCCCCUCUUCCCUCCUGACCCAGCAGGCCCUCGGUGGUCCCUGCAGAGGGCCUGAUGGGGUCACACAGGGACUCGCCGUGUCUGGCUGCUGUGUCUGGCUGCCCCAGGUCGUGCUCCCACAGCGGGGGAGCAGAUGCAGCGCUGGACGGGACCCGCCCAGGACGGGUCUCACUCACACCCCGGGGGCUCGGCGGUCCUGUAGACCAGGACAGAUUCUGCUCGGGCUCAGUGGGCCCUGGCAAUGGCCCAGGGAAGUCCCCAGACCUGCUGCUGUAGGAGAAGUUCGCCGGGCUGUGGGUCCCUGUGGCCCCGCCCCUGCGGAGCUCCCCUGGCGGCCUCCAUGCUGGGGGCACACGUGCAGCCCAGGAGGGGCCGUGCACCUGCUCGCCUGAGUCGCUGGGCCUCUGCCCGCAGGUGUGGGUCCUCUCUCUCCAGCCCGCAUGUUCCGUGCACCCCUGUGCGUGGGGGGCCCUGCUCCUGACUUUCCCAGCAGUCGUUUCACGGGCAGAGGUCACCGGGGGUGCAGGGUUUGUGGCGUCAGUGUGGGAAAUCCUCUCCCGUAUCUGGGGCGGGUGUAGUUUAUGCGUGACUACAGAGGAAGCCUGGCGCCGUCUUCUGUCCCGUGUGCUUGGGAUCCAGGCUGUCACGAGCCGGGGGUGUGUUGGUGUUUGCGUGUGUGACGUGUGUCCGUGCACCGCCAUUGCAGCAUCGUCAUGGCCCCGACACCUGACUGGCCUGGUCCUCUGUCCCUGUGUGUCUAAGUCAGAGCUCCGCUCCCAGGAGGGCGUGGGUCUGGCUGUCAGGAUCGAACCUGGUGCCGAGUUUCUAAUGUGGUCUCCCUCUGAUGGCUGGUGUGUGUGUGUGUGCGUGUGUGUGCGUGUGUGUGUGUGCGCGUGCACGCACUCUGCCUCUGAUAAAUAAAUCUUUCAGAUAGAGAGGAGAGACA